GAACUCUGAUGCAGCAACGCCGCGUGGAGGAUGACGCAUUUCGGUGUGUAAACUCCUUUUAAGAGGGAAGAUAAUGACGGUACCUCUUGAAUAAGCACCGGCUAACUCCGUGCCAGCAGCCGCGGUAAUAA
RNAcentral lists this ribosomal RNA (131 nucleotides) under uncultured bacterium. RNAcentral describes it as "partial 16S ribosomal RNA". It matches the Rfam family "Bacterial small subunit ribosomal RNA", at positions 378 to 526 of the family's 1533-position model. RNAcentral also lists the same sequence under 1 other name. The record is from RNAcentral.